GACGAACGCUGGCGGCGUGCUUAACACAUGCAAGUCGAACGGAAAGGCCCUGCUUUUGUUGGUUGCUCGAGUGGCGAACGGGUGUGUAACACGUGAGUAACCUGUCCUUGACUUUGUGAUAACUUCAGGAAACUGGGGCUAAUACCGGAUAUGAUCUCCUGCUGCAUGUUGGGGGUUGGAAAGUUUCGGCGGUUGGGGAUGGACUCGCGGCUUAUCAGCUUGUUGGUGGGGUAGUGGCUUACCAAGGCUUUGACGGGUAGCCGGCCUGAGAGGGUGACCGGCCACAUUGGGACUGAGAGACGGCCCAGAAUCCUACGGGAGGCAGCAGUGGGGAAUAUGGCACAAUGGGCGGAAGCCUGAUGCAGCAACGCCGCGUGCGGGAUGACGGCCUUCGGGUUGUAAACCGCUUUCGACUGUGACGAAGAGUGAGUGACGGUAAUGGGUAAAGAAGCACCGGCUAACUACGUG
RNAcentral lists this ribosomal RNA (468 nucleotides) under uncultured bacterium. RNAcentral describes it as "partial 16S ribosomal RNA". It matches the Rfam family "Bacterial small subunit ribosomal RNA", at positions 28 to 507 of the family's 1533-position model. The record is from RNAcentral.